AGGUAGUUGAAGAGGCUUGCACUAAUCUUCUUCCAAAUGUUUUGUGCGAGUAUCUCUACAAUUUGUCGGAAAUAUUCACAAGGUUUUACACUAGCUGCCAGGUUGUUGGAUCUGCAGAAGAAACUAGCAGAUUGUUACUGUGCGAGGCAACAGCAGUGGUAAUGAGGAAAUGCUUCCAUCUACUUGGGAUCACACCUGUCUUCAAAAUAUAGAACUGCAUUAUUAUUAUUAUUAUUU
This is a long non-coding RNA of Phalaenopsis equestris, 237 nucleotides long. RefSeq lists it as uncharacterized. Lineage: Eukaryota; Viridiplantae; Streptophyta; Magnoliopsida; Asparagales; Orchidaceae. The transcript is spliced from 2 exons. The record is from RefSeq and is a predicted model, not a curated record.